GGCGGGAUACUCAAGUUUGGUUAAGAGGCUGUUUUGCUAAAACAGUAGGGGCUACGGUCCACGCAGGUUCAAAUCCUGUUCCUGCCG
RNAcentral lists this transfer RNA (87 nucleotides) under Caudoviricetes sp. RNAcentral's name for it is "tRNA-Ser". It matches the Rfam family "tRNA". From Rfam's summary of the family: Transfer RNA (tRNA) molecules are approximately 80 nucleotides in length. Their secondary structure includes four short double-helical elements and three loops (D, anti-codon, and T loops). The record is from RNAcentral. Lineage: Duplodnaviria; Heunggongvirae; Uroviricota; Caudoviricetes.